This 91-nucleotide ribosomal RNA is filed under the name Loropetalum chinense. RNAcentral describes it as "partial 5.8S rRNA". It matches the Rfam family "5.8S ribosomal RNA", at positions 66 to 154 of the family's 154-position model. From Rfam's summary of the family: 5.8S ribosomal RNA (5.8S rRNA) is a component of the large subunit of the eukaryotic ribosome. Lineage: Eukaryota; Viridiplantae; Streptophyta; Magnoliopsida; Saxifragales; Hamamelidaceae. RNAcentral also lists the same sequence under 1 other name. The record is from RNAcentral.
UGUGAAUUGCAGAAUCCCGUGAACCAUCGAGUCUUUGAACGCAAGUUGCGCCCAAAGCCAUUAGGCCGAGGGCACGUCUGCCUGGGCGUCA